RNAcentral lists this long non-coding RNA (308 nucleotides) under Homo sapiens (human). RNAcentral describes it as "non-protein coding lnc-AKAP9-1:1". Lineage: Eukaryota; Metazoa; Chordata; Mammalia; Primates; Hominidae. The record is from RNAcentral.
CGCUAGGGGCCUGGCAGGGGGCAGCAAGAGACCGCGGAUUACCUGAAGCUGAGUAAUUUAUAAAGAAAAGAAGUUCAAUUGGCUCACAGUUCUGCAGGCUGUACAGGAAGCAUGGCACUGACAUCUUCUCAGCUUCUGGUGAGGGCCUCAGGAAGUUUACAAUCAUGGUGGAAGGCAAAGGGGGAGCAAGCGUCUCAUGUGGCAAGAGGGAACAAACAGGAGACAGGAGGUGCCACACACUUUUAAACAACAGGAUCUCACAAGAGCUUACUCUUACAAGGACAGCACCAAGAAUAUGAGGAAUCUGC